This 253-nucleotide ribosomal RNA is filed under the name uncultured bacterium. RNAcentral's name for it is "partial 16S ribosomal RNA". It matches the Rfam family "Bacterial small subunit ribosomal RNA", at positions 524 to 776 of the family's 1533-position model. The record is from RNAcentral.
UACGUAGGUGGCAAGCGUUAUCCGGAUUUAUUGGGCGUAAAGGGAACCCAGGCGGUCUUUUAAGUCUGAUGUGAAAGCCUUCGGCUUAACCGGAGUAGUGCAUUGGAAACUGGGAGACUUGAGUGCAGAAGAGGAGAGUGGAACUCCAUGUGUAGCGGUGAAAUGCGUAGAUAUAUGGAAGAACACCAGUGGCGAAAGCGGCUCUCUGGUCUGUAACUGACGCUGAGGUUCGAAAGCGUGGGUAGCAAACAGG